AUGACCCCCUCUAACAUGGGGGUGAUCUUUGGGCCCACUCUCAUGAGAGCUCAGGAGGACACUGUGGCUGCCAUGAUGAACAUCAAAUUCCAGAAUAUUGUGGUGGAAAUCCUAAUUGAGCACUUUGUCAAGAUCUAUUCAGGUCCACCUGAGGAAAGUACUGCACCCCCAGUGCCUCCACCUCGAGUAACAGCAAGAAGACACAAACCAAUUACAAUUUCAAAGCGCUUGCUACGGGAAAGGACAGUUUUCUAUACUUCUUCCCUGGAUGAAAGUGAAGAUGAAAUUCAACAUAGAACACCCAAUGGUACUAUCAUCAGCAGCAUAGAACCCCCCAAGCCACCACAAUACCCCAAAAUGCCUAUGCAAAAAAGUGUGGAAGCAGAUCCUGGGAGGAAGUCCCCAAGCAGGCUUGUUUCAGAUGUCAAGUUGGAGACCUGCCUCGAGGUGGACGUGGGGAAAUUGGUGUCUAGGCUGCAGGAUGGAGGGACCAAGGCCAUACCAAAGGCCAGCAAUGGACCUAUGCCAGGCCCUGGGACCACUAAGGCCCCCUCUUUCCACAUAAAGAGAUCAGCACCUCGGCCCCUGGCUCACCACAAGGAGGGAGACUCUGACAGUUUCAGCAAAGUGCGGCCUCCGGGAGAAAAGCCAACCAUCAUCAGACCCCCAGUGAGGCCUCCAGACCCUCCCUGCCGGGCAACUACUUCCCAGAAACCAGAACCAAAGCCAGAUGUUAUGGCUGGCAAUGCAGGGGAAAUCCCAUCAUCUGUAGUGGCUUCCAGGACCAGAUUCUUUGAAACAGCUUCCCGGAAAACAGGAAGUUCUCAAGGCAGACUUCCUGGAGAUGAGAGUUGAGGCCUCAGGUUGUAAAAUCCUUGGCCUCAGGGGACCCUUUCCAGGUUCUAGAAGGGUCUUCUUCAAAUCCUUGUGUGCUGAAGAGCAGAUUCUUCCUGUCCCUGCACCUUCAGGCUCUGGGAGGCUAUAAAAUAAGGGGCACAUGUCCUAUACACAUUUAUUUCUCCUUUGUAUUCUCUCUUCAUUCCCCUAGAAGGUCUAUCUUGAGCUCCUAUAAGACUGUGAAUGGCUGAACUUCCUCAAGCCAGACUGCAGAAACCAAGCUGUCCACUGACCUGAGUCGAAGAGAGGAGCUCAGUUUUCAACUGUUUUCUGAACUUCCUGCCUCCUCAAAAGGCCAUCUAUCUCUGAAAGAUUUGGGGCUAAAGAUUGAUCUUAGAAGUCUUACCCUGAACUAAAAAUUACUUGAGUUGGGGCCAUUGCUUACCUUGGAAGUAAGGGAGUAGGAAUGUUUGCUGAACUUCGGAGGCUCUUACCAUGUCUCUCUUACUGAAGAUAUGGACUUUAGUGCCAGUUUGGAGCUCUGGCAUAGUACUACAUUGCCAAGAAUGCAUCUGCUGCUAUGGCCCAGACAGAAAGAGUGAUGCCUCUAUAAUCCCUCCAAUGUGGACUCAGGAAGGUGCCCUUCCUGCUUUUAUAUACUUAGGACAAAUCUGCAAAGCAUGUUUUGCAUGUCAAAGCCUAUGUCUGUUUGAAUUAUUCUUCUUCCUGCUUUGUCCUAACAGCUUCCUUUCCAAGCAAUCAGAAAGAAACAAAUGUUUAAAACAGUUCUUUUUUUUUUUUAAGGCAGACUGUGUUUGUUCUGUAGGAGUUCCAUUUUGGGAUCAAAUGCUGGGGAAAAUUGUUAAGAUGGAUAAAGGCCAGGUAGUUGUCAUUGUUGUUUCAUGUUUGCUUUUUGAAGAUAAGCUCUUUUAUCGCCUGAAAGAAACAGUUCUUAACCCAUUAUCUAUGGACUCAGGAACUUCAUAAAGCCUCUGAAAUG
Molecule: long non-coding RNA, 1837 nt
Filed under: Capra hircus (goat)
Lineage: Eukaryota; Metazoa; Chordata; Mammalia; Artiodactyla; Bovidae
Description: lncRNA (ENSCHIG00000004188.1)
Source: RNAcentral